GCCAGGCGCGGUGGUGCAAGCCUGUAAUCCCAGCUGCUUGGGAGGCUGAGGCGGGAGGAUCUCGAGUUCAAAGCCAGCCUCAGCAAAAGUGAGGCACUAAGCAACUCAGUGAGUCCCUGUCUCUA
Molecule: small RNA, 125 nt
Filed under: Marmota monax (woodchuck)
Lineage: Eukaryota; Metazoa; Chordata; Mammalia; Rodentia; Sciuridae
Source: RNAcentral